UUACGGUCAAAUCACGCUGAAAACACCGGUUCUCGUUCGAUCACCGAAGUUAAGCAUCGUAGAGCCAGGUUCAGUUUUAGGGUUAUCGUGGAAUGAUAACUUAGAUGGGGACCGCUUUCGGGAACACCUGGUACUGUAAG
Molecule: non-coding RNA, 140 nt
Organism: Acanthosepion pharaonis
Lineage: Eukaryota; Metazoa; Mollusca; Cephalopoda; Sepiida; Sepiidae
Source: the annotation of a GenBank genome assembly